GAUCCUCGCUCAGGAAGUCGUAACAAGGCAGCCAGGGAGUGGGGGAUAACGUCCGGAAACGGGCGCUAAUACCGCAUACGUCCUGAGGGAGAAAGUGGGGGAUCUUCGGACCUCACGCUAUCAGAUGAGCCUAGGUCGGAUUAGCUAGUUGGUGGGGUAAAGGCCUACCAAGGCGACGAUCCGUAACUGGUCUGAGAGGAUGAUCAGUCACACUGGAACUGAGACACGGUCCAGACUCCUACGGGAGGCAGCAGUGGGGAAUAUUGGACAAUGGGCGAAAGCCUGAUCCAGCCAUGCCGCGUGUGUGAAGAAGGUCUUCGGAUUGUAAAGCACUUUAAGUUGGGAGGAAGGGCAGUAAGUUAAUACCUUGCUGUUUUGACGUUACCAACAGAAUAAGCACCGGCUAACUUCGUGCCAGCAGCCGCGGUAAUACGAAGGGUGCAAGCGUUAAUCGGAAUUACUGGGCGUAAAGCGCGCGUAGGUGGUUCAGCAAGUUGGAUGUGAAAUCCCCGGGCUCAACCUGGGAACUGCAUCCAAAACUACUGAGCUAGAGUACGGUAGAGGGUGGUGGAAUUUCCUGUGUAGCGGUGAAAUGCGUAGAUAUAGGAAGGAACACCAGUGGCGAAGGCGACCACCUGGACUGAUACUGACACUGAGGUGCGAAAGCGUGGGGAGCAAACAGGAUUAGAUAC
RNAcentral lists this ribosomal RNA (692 nucleotides) under Pseudomonas sp. RNAcentral's name for it is "bacterial SSU rRNA". It matches the Rfam family "Bacterial small subunit ribosomal RNA", at positions 93 to 785 of the family's 1533-position model. Lineage: Bacteria; Pseudomonadati; Pseudomonadota; Gammaproteobacteria; Pseudomonadales; Pseudomonadaceae. The record is from RNAcentral.